CAGUGAACAAUUAAACGGCCGCGGUACCCUAACCGUGCAAAGGUAGCGUAAUCAUUUGUCUAUUAAUUGUAGACCAGUAUGAAAGGCAAAAUGAGGGUCCAUCUGUCUCUUACAGCCAAUCAAUUAAACUGAUCUCCUAGUAAAAAAGCUAGAAUCCCCACAUAAGACCAGAAGACCCUGUGAAGCUUUAACUAAACUAUUAAAUCAUCUAAUAACUCCUUUAGGUUGGGGCGACCGUGGAAAAAAGAAGAACUUCCAAUAAAUCAUGAUUAUAACCAUGUCUUCCUAGGCAGACCAGCCUAUUAAACCACAGACCCAGUACUACUGAUCAAUGAACCAAGUUACUCCAGGGAUAACAGCGCCAUCUUCUUCAAGAGCCCAUAUCAAAAAGAAGGUUUACGACCUCGAUGUUGGAUCAGGACAUCCUAAUGGUGCAGCCGCUAUUAAGGGUUCGUUUGUUCAACGAUUAACAGUCCUACGUGAU
Molecule: ribosomal RNA, 484 nt
Filed under: Conophis lineatus (lined ground snake)
Lineage: Eukaryota; Metazoa; Chordata; Lepidosauria; Squamata; Dipsadidae
Description: partial large subunit ribosomal RNA
Rfam family: Bacterial large subunit ribosomal RNA
Source: RNAcentral